This 229-nucleotide ribosomal RNA is filed under the name uncultured bacterium. RNAcentral's name for it is "partial 16S ribosomal RNA". It matches the Rfam family "Bacterial small subunit ribosomal RNA", at positions 568 to 796 of the family's 1533-position model. The record is from RNAcentral.
UACGUAGGCGGAAAAUUAAGUCAGUAGUGAAAUCCCGCAGCUUGACUGUGGAACUGUUAUUGAUACUGGUUUUCUUGAAUUUAGUUGAGGUAGGCGGAAUGUGUAAUGUAGCGGUGAAAUGCUUAGAUAUUACACAGAACACCGAUUGCGAAGGCAGCUUACUAAGCUAUGAUUGACGCUGAGGUACGAAAGCGUGGGGAGCGAACAGGAUUAGAUACCCUGGUAGUCC